CAGCACCUCAAGUGGUCAGGAUGAUUAUUGGGCCUAAAGCAUCCGUAGCCUGCUUUGUCAGUUUUCGGUUAAAUCCAUACGCUCAACGUAUGGGCUGCCGGGAAUACUGCAAAGCUAGGGAGUGGGAGAGGUAGACGGUACUCGGUAGGAAGGGGUAAAAUCCUUUGAUCUAUUGAUGACCACCUGUGGCGAAGGCGGUCUACCAGAACACGUCCGACGGUGAGGGAUGAAAGCUGGGGGAGCGAACCGGAUUAGAUACCCGAGUAGUCC
Molecule: ribosomal RNA, 270 nt
Filed under: uncultured archaeon
Lineage: Archaea
Description: partial 16S ribosomal RNA
Rfam family: Archaeal small subunit ribosomal RNA
Source: RNAcentral